UCCGGUUUGUCACCGGCAGUCUCCCAUGAGUCCCCGGCAUUAUCCGCUGGCAACAUAGGACAGGGGUUGCGCUCGUUGCGGGACUUAACCCAACAUCUCACGACACGAGCUGACGACAACCAUGCACCACCUGUGAACCCGCCCCAAAGGGGAAACCACAUCUCUGGAGGAUUUCCGGCGAUGUCAAACCCAGGUAAGGUUCUUCGCGUUGCAUCGAAUUAAUCCGCAUGCUCCGCCGCUUGUGCGGGCCCCCGUCAAUUCCUUUGAGUUUCAGCCUUGCGGCCGUACUCCCCAGGCGGGGCACUUAUCGCGUUAGCUGCGGCACCGAAGGGGUCGUUCCCCCCGGCACCUAGUGCCCAUCGUUUACGGCGUGGACUAC
Molecule: unclassified non-coding RNA, 379 nt
Filed under: uncultured Actinomycetes bacterium
Lineage: Bacteria; Bacillati; Actinomycetota; Actinomycetes
Description: uncultured actinobacterium contains 16S-23S intergenic spacer region
Source: RNAcentral